GCAAAGGCCCUAGGUUCAAUCCCCAGGGCCACACACACACACAAAAAAAAAAAC
Molecule: non-coding RNA, 54 nt
Organism: Fukomys damarensis (Damara mole-rat)
Lineage: Eukaryota; Metazoa; Chordata; Mammalia; Rodentia; Bathyergidae
Source: Rfam